GUGAAGCUGCUGUGUAGUAUCGCAUAACAACUAGACAUAGCCAAUCUCAACAUGCAUACAUGCUGAAGGUGGUAGUUUGAUGGAUCAUGAACUUACAUCAGGUUUAUUGCAUACAUGCUGAAAAUAACAUGAAGGUGGUAGUUUGAUGGAUCAUGAACUUACAUGUUAUUCAGCUCAAAGAUACCAAUAAUAUGACCAUACAUUUCAAGGGAGAGUACUGGUAAGAGUCAAGGAUUCCAUAUUGACCCACAUAAGUAUCGAGAACAACACUACAGAAAAGAGGAGCAGUCAACUAACUGAAAAUUAAUCAAGAUACAUGGAUUGCAUUCCUCGUCAAAGAUACCUGCCUUGAGGAGCUGCAGAGAUUGGAUAAUACAAACUGAUAAAUCAAAUUUCAGUAUAGAAAGCAAAGAAGCAAGACCAAUAUAACAACAACAACAACAACUACCCAGUAUACUCCCACCAGGUGGGGUCUGGGG
Molecule: long non-coding RNA, 479 nt
Filed under: Nicotiana benthamiana
Lineage: Eukaryota; Viridiplantae; Streptophyta; Magnoliopsida; Solanales; Solanaceae
Description: long non-coding RNA (NBEN_LNC006660)
Source: RNAcentral